Molecule: ribosomal RNA, 446 nt
Filed under: uncultured bacterium
Lineage: Bacteria
Description: bacterial SSU rRNA
Rfam family: Bacterial small subunit ribosomal RNA
Source: RNAcentral
GAUGACGACUAGCUACAGGCUUAACACAUGCAAGUCGAGGGGCAGCAUGGUCUUAGCUUGCUAAGGCCGAUGGCGACCGGCGCACGGGUGAGUAACGCGUAUCCAACCUGCCUUACACUCUAGAAGACAUCUGAAGGAGAUUAAAAGAUUUAUCGGUGAUGGAUGGGGAUGCGUCUGAUUAGCUUGUUGGCGGGGUAACGGCCCACCAAGGCGACGAUCAGUAGGGGUUCUGAGAGGAAGGUCCCCCACAUUGGAACUGAGACACGGUCCAAACUCCUACGGGAGGCAGCAGUGAGGAAUAUUGGUCAAUGGACGAGAGUCUGAACCAGCCAAGUAGCGUGAAGGAUGAAGGUCCUACGGAUUGUAAACUUCUUUAUAAGGGAAUAAAACCUCCCACGUGUGGGAGCUUGUAUGUACCUUAUGAAUAAGCAUCGGCUAACUCCGUG